ACGUACUGUAAAUCGAUGUACCUUUUCAUUUGCAUACAUGCAACAAUCGGCGUAAUCAUUACUAUUAUAAACAGUUUAAAGGAUCACUUGUUGCAGUUUUGAUACAAUUUGCAAACGGUUUGCGGUGAUUACUAUGGGAUGCGGUACGUCUGACAUGGACCACAACGUCAACAGUACCCGCGUGAGAAUCAACGUGAUCGAAGCAACAAGCAUAAAUCUAGAGUGUAGCUUUUCCAGAAGCCCCAGCAGCUCCCGGAGGAAUUCCGGAUUAAGCCUAUUAGCCCCCUCUCACAGCCAUGCUGCGAAGCACAAAAAAGCUCCAAAAAAAGCUGAACGAGCAGGAUCACCUGUCUUAUGACGUCAUAUCUCGUGUAAUGGCGCAGCAUUUGCGCGUUGAUCAAAAAUGACGAACUCAUAAAUAGACGCGCCAAGUCACAUAACUAGUUCGAUUAUACUACUGCUCACGUGAGAUCUUGAUGACUUGGUUAGUUAAGCAAUUUUGCAAAAUUGAUCAUUGACAUCACGCUAUCUAUUUCAAGAUGGAACGUUCGAGAGUUUAGCUACAUUACCCAACAAAAAAAGAUCAAGCUAAACCGUGUGACCAGUGCCGCAAUGUAUGGUUUUAACUAUUAAGUCGCAUCAAUUGUGAAUUGUGUCAAGCAAGUGCCUGUACAUGUGUUGGCAAUGUAUUUAUGCCAUAAAUUAUGGUGGUGCAUGUAUGAUAUGUGACGUCGACAUUUAUCCCAUUUUCACCGCGACAUUGACGGUAUAACACGUUGUGGAAUAUACUUGCUUGUAUUCAACACUGUGGAAUAUACCUGUCGCGUGCACGGACUACUUUUUAAAUGACGUCAUGCGAUAUGCGCGUAAAUUAGGUCGAUAUUGUUUGGUUCAUUGAUCGAAUUUUAAGGUCACCCAUUAGAAGAAAAUGUGCAUAUUUUGCAGAAAAAUAUAUAUAUUACAUAUUCGCCAAAAGAAAUGUUGAAAUAAAAUAUAAAAUUACA
Dreissena polymorpha is the source of this 1004-nucleotide long non-coding RNA. RefSeq lists it as uncharacterized. The record is from RefSeq and is a predicted model, not a curated record. Lineage: Eukaryota; Metazoa; Mollusca; Bivalvia; Myida; Dreissenidae. The transcript has 2 exons.